RNAcentral lists this ribosomal RNA (1620 nucleotides) under Nitrospirota bacterium. Its description in RNAcentral is "partial 23S ribosomal RNA". It matches the Rfam family "Bacterial large subunit ribosomal RNA", at positions 1 to 1594 of the family's 2925-position model. Lineage: Bacteria; Pseudomonadati; Nitrospirota. The record is from RNAcentral.
UGUUAAGCUACUAAGGGUGUACGGUGAAUGCCCUGGCAUCAGCAGGCGAAGAAGGACGUAGCUAGCUGCGAUAAGCCUCGGGGAGCCGCAAGCAGGCCGUGAUCCGAGGAUGUCCGAAUGGGGAAACCCAGGCGAUGAAUGCCGCCUAUCCUCUUCUGAAUACAUAGGAAGAGAGAAGCCCACGUAGGGAAGUGAAACAUCUCAGUACCUACAGGAAGAGAAAUCAAUAGAGAUUCCCCCAGUAGUGGCGAGCGAAAAGGGAAUAGCCCAAACCGGAGUGAUGUCAAGCCCGUAGGCGUUGUCACUCUGGUGUUGUAGGCCUCUGUCGGACGGUCUUACGGGACUGUCGGCAAGUCAAAAAUCAGGAUAUUAGCAGAACGGUCUGGAAAGGCCGGCCAUAGAAGGUGAUAGCCCUGUCGGCGAAAAUAUCCUGACUUGCUGGAUAGAGGUCCUGAGUACCACGGGGCUCGAGUAACCCAGUGGGAAUCCGGGACGACCACGUUCCAAGGCUAAAUACUCGCUGAUGACCGAUAGCGCACCAGUACCGUGAGGGAAAGGUGAAAAGAACCCCGGUGAGGGGAGUGAAAUAGAACCUGAAACCGUACACCUACAAGCAGCGAAAGGGCUAUGCCCGCAAGGGAAUGCCUGAUCGCGUGCCUUUUGCUUAAUGAGCCUGCGAGUUAUUCUGCGUAGCAAGGUUAAGGCGCAAAGCCGGAGCCGUAGCGAAAGCGAGUCCGAAUUGGGCAUUAAGUUGCGUAGAUUAGACCCGAAGCGGAGUGAUCUACCCAUGGCCAAGGUGAAUCCGCAGUAACAUGCGGAGGAGGCCUGAACUGAUGUUUGUUGCAAAAAGCUCGGAUGAGCUGUGGGUAGGGGUGAAAGGCUAAUCAAACUCCGUGAUUGCUGGUUCUCCCCGAAAUAACUAGAGGGUUAGCCUCGUGACAGCCGUGGCGGAGGUAGAGCACUGGAUGGGCUAGGGGCGUUCCAACGCUACUGAACCCAACCAAACUCCGAAUGCCGCUACUGGACGCACGGGAGUUAGACUACGGGUGCUAAGAUCCGUGGUCGAAAGGGAAAUAGCCCAGACCGUCAGCUAAGGUCCCUAAGAGUGAGCUAAGUGGAAAAGGUUGUAAGGUCGCUCAGACAGCCAGGAGGUUGGCUUAGAAGCAGCCAUCCUUUAAAGAGUGCGUAAUAGCUCACUGGUCGAGUGGUGUUGCACCGACAAUAAACGGGGCUCAAGCCCGUCGCCGAAGCUAGGGAUUCCGACGUGAGUCGGGAUGGUAGGGGAGCAUUCUCCUGGCAGAGAAGCCUGAGGGUGACCGAGGGUGGAGCGAGGAGAAGAGAGAAUGCCGGCAUGAGUAGCGAUAACCCUGGUGAGAACCCAGGGCACCGAAAGCCUGAGGAUUCCUACGCAAGGUCAGUCCGCGUAGGGUUAGUCGGGCCUAAGCCUAAGGCCAAGGCCGAUGGCGAUGGAUAGCAGGUUAUUAUUCCUGCACCACCCUAUUGGAGGCAGCUGGGGGACACGGGGGAGAUGCCUGAGCCUGCCCAUGGACAUGGCAGGUUCCGCCGCAAGGUGGAGGAGUCCUUCCUGCAAGGGAAGGGUGACUUCGGUUGUCGAACUCG